GACGAACCGUGCGAACGUUAUUCGGAAUCAUUGGGCUUAAAGGGCGCGUAGGCGGGCGACCGCGUCGAUGGCUGAAAGCCCCCGGCUUAACCGGGGAACGGGCCACGAUACGGGUCGCCUCGAGGCGAGGAGGGGGACCUGGAACGUCCGGUGGAGCGGUGAAAUGCGUUGAGAUCGGACGGAACACCGACGGCGAAAGCAAGGUCCUGGACUCGUACUGACGCUGAGGCGCGAAGGCCAGGGGAGCGAACGGG
Molecule: ribosomal RNA, 254 nt
Filed under: uncultured bacterium
Lineage: Bacteria
Description: partial 16S ribosomal RNA
Rfam family: Bacterial small subunit ribosomal RNA
Source: RNAcentral